AGAGAGAGACAUGCGCGCAUAUCAAUAAGCGGAGGAAAAGAAACUAACAAGGAUUCCCCUAGUAACGGCGAGUGAAGCGGGAAGAGCUCAAAUUUGAAAUCUUAAAGGGUUUCCCUUUACGAAUUGUAGUUUAAAGAAGUGUUUUCUGUUGAGGUUUUGGUAAAAGUUCUUUGGAAUAGGACAUCAUAGAGGGUGAGAAUCCCGUAUUUGACCUUUACUUUCAACUUUGUGAUACACUUUCAAAGAGUCGGAUUGUUUGGGAAUGCAGUCCAAAAUGGGUGGUAAAUUUCAUCUAAAGCUAAAUAUUGGCGAGAGACCGAUAGCGAACAAGUACCGUGAGGGAAAGAUGAAAAGAACUUUGAAAAGAGAGUUAAACAGUACGUGAAAUUGUCAAAAGGGAAGCGUUUGACACCAGUGUUGUUUUUCUGAAAAUCAAUUAAAGAACUGUUUAUGCUAAGUUGUUUAGACUUUAUCAGCUAUCUGUUUAGUUUUGAGCUUUUCUUUAAUGCACUUUUCAGUUAACAAGUCAACAUCAAUUUCUUUUGCUGUAAAAAAGCUUGAGGAAGGUGGCUUGAGAUUCGUCUUAAGUGUUUAUAGCCUCUUGCCUAUGCAGUCGGAGAGAUUGAGGUCUGCAGCGUAGAUCCUUCGGGGCUAAAUGCAUUUGUGCUAAGUUAUAGCAUUUUAUAGACAACUUGUUGACUAUGAUUUGUCUUGCUAGCUUACUCGCUUAUGUUAUUUUACCUACGCUUAGGAUGUUGAGCGCAUGUCUCUCUCU
Molecule: ribosomal RNA, 775 nt
Filed under: uncultured Neocallimastigales
Lineage: Eukaryota; Fungi; Neocallimastigomycota; Neocallimastigomycetes; Neocallimastigales
Description: partial large subunit ribosomal RNA
Rfam family: Eukaryotic large subunit ribosomal RNA
Source: RNAcentral